RNAcentral lists this ribosomal RNA (397 nucleotides) under uncultured bacterium. Its description in RNAcentral is "partial 16S ribosomal RNA". It matches the Rfam family "Bacterial small subunit ribosomal RNA", at positions 523 to 918 of the family's 1533-position model. The record is from RNAcentral.
AUACGUAGGUGACAAGCGUUAUCCGGAUUUACUGGGCGUAAAGGGCGUGUAGGCGGUCUUGCAAGUCAGAAGUGAAAUUCCUGAGCUCAACUCGGGCGCUGCUUCUGAAACUGCAGGACUUGAGUGCUGGAGGGGAUAGCGGAAUUCCUAGUGGAGCGGUACAGUGCGCAGAUAUUAGGAAGAACACCGGUGGCGAAGGCGGCUAUCUGGACAGUAACUGACGCUGAGGCGCGAAAGCGUGGGGAGCAAACAGGAUUAGAUACCCUGGUAGUCCACACUGUAAACGAUGAAUGCUAGGUGUAAGAGGUAUCGACCCCUUUUGUGCCGGAGUCAACACAAUAAGCAUUCCGCCUGGGGAGUACGGCCGCAAGGUUGAAACUCAAAUGAAUUGACGGGG